AGAGUUUGAUCAUGGCUCAGGAUGAACGCUAGCGGCAGGCUUAAUACAUGCAAGUCGAGGGGCAGCAUGAGUGUAGCAAUACACUUGAUGGCGACCGGCAAACGGGUGCGGAACACGUACAGAACCUUCCUUCGAGCGGGGAAUAGCCCAGAGAAAUUUGGAUUAAUACCCCAUAGUAUAUUGAAGAGGCAUCUCUUUAAUAUUAAAGAUAUAUCGCUUGAAGAUGGCUGUGCGGCUGAUUAGGUAGUUGGCGGGGUAACGGCCCACCAAGCCUACGAUCAGUAACUGGUGUGAGAGCACGACCAGUCACACGGGCACUGAGACACGGGCCCGACUCCUACGGGAGGCAGCAGUAAGGAAUAUUGGGCAAUGGAGGCAACUCUGACCCAGCCAUGCCGCAUGGAGGAUGAAGGCCCUCUGGGUUGUAAACUUCUUUUAUAUGGGACGAAAAAGGGCCUUUCUAGGUCAACUGACGGUACCAUUUGAAUAAGCACCGGCUAACUCCGUGCCAGCAGCCGCGGUAAUACGGAGGGUGCAAGCGUUAUCCGGAUUUACUGGGUUUAAAGGGUGCGUAGGUGGAUUGGUAAGUCAGUGGUGAAAUCUCCGGGCUUAACUCGGAAACUGCCAUUGAUACUAUCAGUCUUGAAUAUUGUGGAGGUCAGCGGAAUAUGUCAUGUAGCGGUGAAAUGCUUAGAUAUGACAUAGAACACCAAUUGCGAAGGC
Molecule: ribosomal RNA, 723 nt
Filed under: uncultured bacterium
Lineage: Bacteria
Description: bacterial SSU rRNA
Rfam family: Bacterial small subunit ribosomal RNA
Source: RNAcentral